This is a long non-coding RNA of Leopardus geoffroyi (Geoffroy's cat), 1234 nucleotides long. RefSeq lists it as uncharacterized. NCBI's taxonomy places the organism in Eukaryota, Metazoa, Chordata, Mammalia, Carnivora, Felidae. The record is from RefSeq and is a predicted model, not a curated record. The transcript is spliced from 2 exons.
GGCUCCUAUGGGAUUCCAGUCUCAGUCAUUCACAGAAUGGAGAGAUGGUAAAAGGAUGUCCAUCGGAUGCCUGAAUUCUUCCCAUUGUGUGGGGGGUCUAUAAACAGGCCUAAGGUUUCAUCUCAGCUCCACGAACUGCCACUUUUGUAAUAUCAUCCCUCUCUGAGCCUCAGUUUCCUUAUUUGUGAAAUGGGCACAGUAAGAUUCAGACUUAUGGUUUUUGUGAAAAGGAAACACAAAUUAUCCAUAGAGAGUACUUAACUACCUUGUAGGCCAUUUAUCACCUCAAGGAAAUCUUAGCCUCUGAGAGGCUCCAAAAUAUAAAUAUUUUUUGGAAUUAGGAGGUUCCUAGGAAACUCAAAGCACAUGUUCCCUGGAGAUUUCCCAUGAAGUGUUUGUCAUUAUAAGUUCCCACGAAUGGCUCAGCCUAUUGCUUUUGCCUGAGAAUAGGCUUGUAGUUAAAAAACAAAAAAACCCUGAAGAGCAUUCAAAGAGCAGGUAUCCUUGAGAAUGCCAGGUGUGGGAGGCACAUAGAAGACAAGACAGGAGUGAGCCACACCACGGCUCAACAGAAGCCCUUGGGUACUUCAGGAAGUAAGUCCUAUUUUUUGAAGGCCCUAUGCUUGGAGGCUCAUCUUUGCCAUGUAGUUCCCAAGAGUUGGGGUGCCUGACGUAGCUCACAAAACCCUCAGUCCUCUGGGACAACUUCUGUAUUAUGAGAUCCUCCUGACUGUGGGUCACCACACCUGGAGUGGGGUUUCUUGUGAGACUGUGUCUCUGCCUCUCCUGUUUCCAUAUAUUUUGUGCUUUUAUCCGUUAUUUUACAGACACUGUUAAGCUAUCUUUCCGAUCCUUUUCAGAGGGAAUUGUUCCAUAAGCAGCUGUUGAAUCCUUGUGUUCAUGGGAAGAGAGAGAAGGGAGAAGGCUUUCAUUUAAGCCCAAAUUAAGAUAGCCACCCAGGAUACAAAAUCUUCACAAAGAAGAGACUUCUCUGAGGAAGGAACAGUCAGUGCAGGAUUACAUAUGUUUUUUUCACACGAAGCAUCAUAAAUCAUCAUGGCCAAUGACAUUCCAGAAAGUUACAGACUUUAUCUCAUGUCUUAGUAUCUGCAAGACUGUAUGACUUUAAUCUUAUGGAAACCAGGGACAUGUGUUUCUUGUUCUUUAUGUUUGAAAUGCUCCUUUUUGGUUAUUUUUAUUUUUAUUUUUUGAAGCUUUCAAUUUUUUAUUUUUU